Molecule: ribosomal RNA, 425 nt
Filed under: uncultured Pseudomonadota bacterium
Lineage: Bacteria; Pseudomonadati; Pseudomonadota
Description: bacterial SSU rRNA
Rfam family: Bacterial small subunit ribosomal RNA
Source: RNAcentral
UGAACGCUGGCGGCACGCUUAACACAUGCAAGUCGAACGAGAUCUUCGGAUCUAGUGGCAGACGGGUGAGUAACGCGUGGGAACCUGCCCUUUAGUAGAGAAUAACUCGGGGAAACUCGAGCUAAUACUUUAUGCGCCCUUCGGGGGAAAGCUUUAUGCGCUAUUGGAUGGGCCCGCGUUAGAUUAGUUUGUUGGUGAGGUAACGGCUCACCAAGGCUACGAUCUAUAGCUGGUCUGAGAGGAUGAUCAGCCACACUGGGACUGAGACACGGCCCAGACUCCUACGGGAGGCAGCAGUGGGGAAUAUUGGACAAUGGGGGCAACCCUGAUCCAGCGAUGCCGCGUGAGUGAUGAAGGCCCUAGGGUUGUAAAGCUCUUUUGUCAGGGAAGAUAAUGACGGUACCUGAAGAAUAAGAUCCGGCUAA